This 406-nucleotide ribosomal RNA is filed under the name uncultured prokaryote. RNAcentral describes it as "bacterial SSU rRNA". It matches the Rfam family "Bacterial small subunit ribosomal RNA", at positions 355 to 776 of the family's 1533-position model. RNAcentral also lists the same sequence under 1 other name. The record is from RNAcentral.
UGGGGAAUAUUGGGCAAUGGGCGCAAGCCUGACCCAGCAACGCCGCGUGAGGGAAGAAGGUUUUCGGAUUGUAAACCUCUGUCGCAAGGGACGAAGAAGUGACGGUACCUUGUGAGGAAGCCCCGGCUAACUACGUGCCAGCAGCCGCGGUAAUACGUAGGGGGCGAGCGUUGUCCGGAAUUACUGGGCGUAAAGGGUGCGUAGGCGGUUGCUUAAGUUGGAUGUGAAAUACCCGGGCUUAACUUGGGGGGUGCAUUCAAAACUGGGCAACUAGAGUUCAGGAGAGGGAAGCGGAAUUCCUAGUGUAGCGGUGAAAUGCGUAGAUAUUAGGAGGAACACCAGUGGCGAAGGCGGCUUUCUGGACUGACACUGACGCUGAGGCACGAAAGCGUGGGGAGCAAACAGG